GUGCUCACUUUGGUGGCACAUACACUAAAAUUGGAACUAUACAGAGAUUAGUUAUGAAAGCUGCACAAGGAUAACACACACAUUCAUGAAGCAUUACAUUUUCUU
Dipodomys ordii (Ord's kangaroo rat) is the source of this 105-nucleotide small nuclear RNA. NCBI's taxonomy places the organism in Eukaryota, Metazoa, Chordata, Mammalia, Rodentia, Heteromyidae. The record is from Ensembl.